GACAGGGGGGGCAAGCGUUGCUCGGAAUUACUGGGCGUAAAGGGCGCGUAGGCGGGAUGGCAAGUCGGUCGUGAAAUCCCUCGGCUCAACCGAGGAACGUCGAUCGAUACUGCUGUUCUUGAGGAUUGCAGAGGAGACUGGAAUUCCCGGUGUAGCGGUGAAAUGUGUAGAGAUCGGGAGGAACACCGGUGGCGAAGGCGGGUCUCUGGGCAAUUCCUGACGCUGAGGCGCGAAAGCGUGGGGAGCAAACGGG
This 253-nucleotide ribosomal RNA is filed under the name uncultured bacterium. RNAcentral describes it as "partial 16S ribosomal RNA". It matches the Rfam family "Bacterial small subunit ribosomal RNA", at positions 524 to 776 of the family's 1533-position model. The record is from RNAcentral.